CCUACGGGGGGCUGCAGUGGGGAAUCUUGCGCAAUGGGCGAAAGCCUGACGCAGCCAUGCCGCGUGAAUGAUGAAGGUCUUAGGAUUGUAAAAUUCUUUCACCGGGGACGAUAAUGACGGUACCCGGAGAAGAAGCCCCGGCUAACUUCGUGCCAGCAGCCGCGGUAAUACGAAGGGGGCUAGCGUUGCUCGGAAUUACUGGGCGUAAAGGGAGCGUAGGCGGACAUUUAAGUCAGGGGUGAAAUCCCGGGGCUCAACCUCGGAAUUGCCUUUGAUACUGGGUGUCUUGAGUAUGAGAGAGGUGUGUGGAACUCCGAGUGUAGAGGUGAAAUUCGUAGAUAUUCGGAAGAACACCAGUGGCGAAGGCGACACACUGGCUCAUUACUGACGCUGAGGCUCGAAAGCGUGGGGAGCAAACAGGAUUAGAUACCCUAGUAGUC
Molecule: ribosomal RNA, 440 nt
Filed under: uncultured bacterium
Lineage: Bacteria
Description: bacterial SSU rRNA
Rfam family: Bacterial small subunit ribosomal RNA
Source: RNAcentral